AUUGAACGCUGGCGGCAGGCCUAACACAUGCAAGUCGAACGAGUGGCGGAGGGGUGAGUAAUGUCUGGGAAACUGCCCGAUGGAGGGGGAUAACUACUGGAAACGGUAGCUAAUACCGCAUACCAUCGGAUGUGCCCAGAUGGGAUUAGCUAGUAGGUGGGGUAACGGCUCACCUAGGCGCCGAUCCCUAGCUGGUCUGAGAGGAUGACCAGCCAAACUGGAACUGAGACACGGUCCAGACUCCUACGGGAGGCCGCAGUGUGGAAUAUUGCACAAUGGGCGCAAGCCUGAUGCAGCCAUGCCGCGUGUAUGAAGAAGGCCUUCGGGUUGUAAAGUACUUUCAGCGCGGAGGCGUUACUCUCAGAAGAAGCACCGGCUAACGCCGUGCCAGCAGCCGCGGUAAUAC
RNAcentral lists this ribosomal RNA (406 nucleotides) under uncultured bacterium. Its description in RNAcentral is "partial 16S ribosomal RNA". It matches the Rfam family "Bacterial small subunit ribosomal RNA", at positions 30 to 526 of the family's 1533-position model. The record is from RNAcentral.